This 464-nucleotide ribosomal RNA is filed under the name uncultured bacterium. RNAcentral's name for it is "bacterial SSU rRNA". It matches the Rfam family "Bacterial small subunit ribosomal RNA", at positions 338 to 795 of the family's 1533-position model. The record is from RNAcentral.
CCUACGGGGUGCAGCAGUGGGAAUAUUGCACAAUGGGCGCAAGCCUGAUGCAGCCAUGCCGCGUGUAUGAAGAAGGCCUUCGGGAUGUAAAGUACUUUCAGCGGGGAGGAAGGUGUUGUGGUUAAUAACCACAGCAAUUGACGUUACCCGCAGAAGAAGCACCGGCUAACUCCGUGCCAGCAGCCGCGGUAAUACGGAGGGUGCAAGCGUUAAUCGGAAUUACUGGGCGUAAAGCGCACGCAGGCGGUCUGUCAAGUCGGAUGUGAAAUCCCCGGGCUCAACCUGGGAACUGCAUUCGAAACUGGCAGGCUAGAGUCUUGUAGAGGGGGGUAGAAUUCCAGGUGUAGCGGUGAAAUGUGUAGAGACCUGGAGGAAUACCGGUGGCGAAGGCGGCCCCCUGGACAAAGACUGACGCUCAGGUGCGAAAGCGUGGGGAGCAAACCGGAUUAGAUACCCUGGUAGUC